This 465-nucleotide ribosomal RNA is filed under the name uncultured bacterium. RNAcentral's name for it is "partial 16S ribosomal RNA". It matches the Rfam family "Bacterial small subunit ribosomal RNA", at positions 28 to 507 of the family's 1533-position model. The record is from RNAcentral.
GACGAACGCUGGCGGCGUGCUUAACACAUGCAAGUCGAACGGAAAGGCCCUGCUUGCCGGGUACUCGAGUGGCGAACGGGUGAGUAACACGUGGGUGAUCUGCCCUGCACUUCGGGAUAAGCUUGGGAAACUGGGUCUAAUACCGGAUAGGAACCAUCUUUAGUGUGGUGGUUGGAAAGUUUUUUCGGUGUAGGAUGAGCUCGCGGCCUAUCAGCUUGUUGGUGGGGUAAUGGCCUACCAAGGCGGCGACGGGUAGCCGGCCUGAGAGGGUGUACGGCCACAUUGGGACUGAGAUACGGCCCAGACGCCUACGGGAGGCAGCAGUGGGGAAUAUUGCACAAUGGGCGCAAGCCUGAUGCAGCGACGCCGCGUGGGGGAUGAAGGCCUUCGGGUUGUAAACUCCUUUCGCUAGGGACGAAGCUUUUUGUGACGGUACCUAGAGAAGAAGCACCGGCUAACUACGUG